This 377-nucleotide ribosomal RNA is filed under the name uncultured bacterium. Its description in RNAcentral is "bacterial SSU rRNA". It matches the Rfam family "Bacterial small subunit ribosomal RNA", at positions 523 to 898 of the family's 1533-position model. The record is from RNAcentral.
AUACGUAGGUGGCAAGCGUUGUCCGGAUUUAUUGGGCGUAAAGCGCGCGCAGGCGGUCCUUUAAGUCUGAUGUGAAAUCUUGCGGCUCAACCGCAAGCGGUCAUUGGAAACUGGGGGACUUGAGUGCAGAAGAGGAAAGCGGAAUUCCACGUGUAGCGGUGAAAUGCGUAGAGAUGUGGAGGAACACCAGUGGCGAAGGCGGCUUUCUGGUCUGUAACUGACGCUGAGGCGCGAAAGCGUGGGGAGCAAACAGGAUUAGAUACCCUGGUAGUCCACGCCGUAAACGAUGAGUGCUAAGUGUUGGAGGGUUUCCGCCCUUCAGUGCUGCAGCUAACGCAUUAAGCACUCCGCCUGGGGAGUACGGUCGCAAGACUGAA